RNAcentral lists this unclassified non-coding RNA (1034 nucleotides) under Leishmania donovani. Its description in RNAcentral is "gene:unknown". Lineage: Eukaryota; Euglenozoa; Kinetoplastea; Trypanosomatida; Trypanosomatidae. The record is from RNAcentral.
ACGAUGCGCCGGCUCAACAGAACGAGUGUUUUAGGCUCAUCGCUUCACCAGCCACCACCCCGACAGAGACCGCCACCGUUGUCAAGCAUGUUGGGUGCACCGAGUCCGGCAGCAGGCGAAUUCAGACGCCGUCUUGCACGGCUUCAGGGGGUGAAGGGCGGACUAGGCAGCAGAGGCACUAACGGGCCGAAGAUCCUGGCAGCCCUCUCCGCGCCGAGGGGCAGCACCAGCCGCAACAACAUCUGGAACUCGGAAGACAGGGCCGCCCGUCGGAUGGUCUGGCGAUCGACCGUACAAGAGACGAUAAUGAGCUGCUCACAGGGGCGGAAGCUUGCCACGCGGGAAGACGACAUGCCACGGAGCUGCCUUUUCCUCUGCUAGAGUGCAUGCCAAUGCAGCCGGGUCGACCGGAUGAUGUGCAUAUGUUGCGCACGACGAGAAUGAGCGCAGCCAACACACCGUCUUCAGGACCUUUCCGGUGUAGACAUGGAAAGAGCGAUCCUUCGCUAUCAAACUCCGGGGGGGUCUCUCACACCCCCACGCAGGUGUGCCGGGCCGCGGCGCUCGGGCUAGAAGGCGCGUAGGUGCCGACAGUGGUGGAGGGAGGUUCAAGGCCACAUUCCCACAUCAGAAGGAAGUGUACCGAACGUGACGUGGCGAAGCGGAAUCUGCGCGAGGAUGCAGGAGGGAGAAAGCGAGUCGCUGGACAGCGCGCGACUCGGGGGAAGUACACGCUUCUUCUCUCUCUUUCCAGCUCCUGCGCGCGCAGCCGGCGGGGGGUCAGGUCUGAAAAGCUGCGACGACAUCCCACCCGCCCAACCUGUGAUCAUCGCUCUCUAUCGCUUUCACACGCCUCCCCGUUUUCAGUAGCGGCCUUGUACGCCACGAUGCACAUUCAGUAUUCGCUAUCGGCACCUGUAUCUCUUCAGCUCCAUCUGCUACACUCGGACAAAAAAAAUCAGGCGCCGUAACUCCCUUUCUUCGACCUCCCGUCUUUCCCCCUAUCGCUUCGCUCGUCUAUGAGGCUCUACUGC